UACGUAAGGGGCAAGCGUUAUCCGGAAUCACUGGGCGUAAAGGGUGCGUAGGUGGCCUGAUAAGUCAGGAGUGAAAGGCAAUGGCUCAACCAUUGUAAGCUCUUGAAACUGUUGGGCUUGAGUACAGGAGAGGAAAGUGGAAUUCCUAGUGUAGCGGUGAAAUGCGUAGAUAUUAGGAGGAACACCAGUGGCGAAGGCGACUUUCUGGACUGUUACUGACACUGAGGCACGAAAGCGUGGGGAGCGAACAGG
This 252-nucleotide ribosomal RNA is filed under the name uncultured bacterium. RNAcentral describes it as "partial 16S ribosomal RNA". It matches the Rfam family "Bacterial small subunit ribosomal RNA", at positions 524 to 776 of the family's 1533-position model. The record is from RNAcentral.